CUUGAACUUGCACCGUAUAGCAAUACUCAAAGUAUACUCAAAAUACUCACAAGAAUACGCUCGAUAAUAUAGAGAGAGAAAACUUCAGUUUCUGGUGUGAUUUUCAAUUCUAACCUAAGCACCCUAUUUAUAGGAAAAUGCUUAGAACACCAAAGCAGAAAAUUUAAUAUAAUAUUAAUAUAUUUAAUAAAUUCUCUACGCCCAUCUAGACAAUCUGAUCUCAGCCAUCAACACAUGUUAAAGAUGCCCACAAACAUUUAAAAAAUGUUUUUCUUAUUUAAAUUAUUUUAAACUUCCAAAAAUCAAUUAUUUCGGAGCUUCGGAACUUCAAUAAUUCACAAUAAAUAGCCCUUUUGUCAGAAAAUUC
This 367-nucleotide long non-coding RNA is filed under the name Panax ginseng (ginseng). RNAcentral's name for it is "long non-coding RNA (PGIN_LNC007660)". Lineage: Eukaryota; Viridiplantae; Streptophyta; Magnoliopsida; Apiales; Araliaceae. The record is from RNAcentral.